AGCUCCAAUAGCGUAUAUUAAAGUUGUUGCAGUUAAAAAGCUCGUAGUUGGAUUUCUGACAUCUUUUUUCUUCCUUUCUUGUUUGCUAAUUGCAAAUGUUAGGUUUGAUUGGGUGUCUUCCUUCCCUGUUAAUUUGUCCCUUGCACAUUAACUUGUUCUCGGGUCAAAUGGGGAUCAUUUACUGUGAAAAAAUUAGAGUGUUCAAAGCAAGUAUUUAAUUUCUUGAAUACAUUAGCAUGGAAUAAUAAGAUAGGACUUUGGUUAUAUUUUGUUGGUUUGCAAGCUAAGGUAAUGAUUAAUAGGAACAUAUUGGGGAUAUCUGUAUUUUUUAGUCAGAGGUGAAAUUCUUGGAUUUAAGAAAGACAAACUACAGCGAAAGCAUUUAUCAAGGAUGUUUUCA
RNAcentral lists this ribosomal RNA (400 nucleotides) under phytoplankton environmental sample. RNAcentral's name for it is "partial small subunit ribosomal RNA". It matches the Rfam family "Eukaryotic small subunit ribosomal RNA", at positions 587 to 972 of the family's 1831-position model. The record is from RNAcentral.